This 1777-nucleotide long non-coding RNA is filed under the name Mytilus galloprovincialis (Mediterranean mussel). Lineage: Eukaryota; Metazoa; Mollusca; Bivalvia; Mytilida; Mytilidae. The record is from RNAcentral.
UAGGUUGAGUCCAAAAAAAAUAUCAAGAUGAACACUUCAAUUUUGUUGGUACUCAUUCCCUGUCUUGUCGCCUUUGUCGUGGUUCAAUCCCAGAUGCAUCCAGGAUACCAGAUGACCGGUGCUUACCCAUAUUACUACGCAAACCAACUGGGUGCAUACCAGCAACAGACCGGAUUAUACAACACCGGAAAUGCUCUCACAGCGCAGGCCCAGAAUGCAAAACUGCUUAACUACUGUAAGUAUUAAUUUCUGCAUAUUUUUUUUUAGUUUAAAUAGUUUUGAUAUAACCGUGUUACACAUGUAUUUAUCAAUGCACAUAGGUAGUGUUAUCUACACUUUGGUUUAGUUAGCAAAUAAUUCUAUUGAAACGCGAUUACCGGUGUUAGAAUCUAAAGGACAAUCUUGAAUUUAUAUUUAUGUUAUAAAUAUGCUUUUUUCCACGACGAAGGCUUAAUUAAAGAUGAGGAAAACCAAUAAACAUAUCAUUUCUUUGCUGCUUUUUUUUAUAGAACAACAACCGAAAAAACAACUUGUAAAACAAUAAUAGUGCAUUAUGUUUUGAUAUUUAAAUAUCUAGACCUGGAGCCUUUAUUGUCCAAAAUUCGUUUCGGGUUCAUUAAAAUUUGAACCGUUCCCGUUAUUAUAAACUCUUCGAUCCGCAUUUCGAUAUCUAUAGAAUGCUCUUCCUCUAUUAAUAACCUUAUUGAUUUGUAUAUGUUUCUAAGGCUAAACAUUAAGUGGUCUAUCACUAGUUUGAUACACUAGAAAAUAAACAAUUUGAAGGGGUUUACACUAGUCAUUCGUUGUACCCUUUAUUGCUUGCUGUUCAAUGUGAGCCAAGGUUCCGUGUUGAAGACCGUACUUUGACCUAUAUUAGUUUACUUUAACAUGGAGUGUUGUCUCAUUAGCACUCAAAUCACAUCUCAUUUUAUCUAUUUAUGCAUAUAUUUCUCCUUUCAGUAUUCGGAUUCUUGCUUCUCCUCCAGUUCACCAAUGCCACAGGAAACAGAGUCGGAUAAUAUGUAAGUUAAGCAAUUGUGUAUGUUAUUGUUGUGUAAUCAGAGAACUUUUUUUUGUCAGAAAACACUGUCAAACAUGCAAACAUACUACCCACACUGGUCUGUGUCCACACUUGUAGUUUUAUAAAUACUAGUAUGUUUUAAAGAAUUAAUGACAACGAUGUUCGAGGUAUAAUCAACAUAGAAGGCAGACACUCUGUUACAGUUCAACCUGUCUAAACCGAAGCCUGUAUAAACCGAAAACCUGUAUAAACCAAACGUAUUCUUGAGACCCCGUCAUAUCAAAUUAUAUACGUUUUAAUAAAACCAAACAUCGGCCAAAACCUAACAAAAUCUAGAUUCCCAAAGAGGUUCGGUUUAAACAGGUGUCACUGUACAUGUAUUUGGUCAUAACAUUUUGACCAUAGCCAAUCAAUGUCGUUAAAUAUCUCUGUGUAGUAUAAGUAGGUAUUAUGAUCAGUUUGAAUUUAUAUAAUUUGCAAUUGUAUAGAAAAUAUAACAGAAACUGGUAAGGGAUGUUGAAAUUUAACGGGAGCGGGAUAACUUCAAUAAGGCUGACUAUGUUUUCGUUCCAUGCAUAAAGGUGUAAGAAAAAACGAAUUUAGACAUUAUUUAUUGAGGCUUCAUGUUUAACUAAAAGUUUGUGUUUAUGAUUAUUUUUUUUGUCUUUUGCAGGUUUGACGAAGAAGUGGAUUUUGCUACUACAUAGCAGUGCUAUUGGUUAAUCUAAAUAAAAAUGUAAAAGAAUAAUAAUCACG